AACUUUCAACAACGGAUCUCUUGGCUCUCGCAUCGAUGAAGAACGCAGCGAAAUGCGAUACGUAAUGUGAAUUG
Molecule: ribosomal RNA, 74 nt
Filed under: Russula ochroleuca
Lineage: Eukaryota; Fungi; Basidiomycota; Agaricomycetes; Russulales; Russulaceae
Description: partial 5.8S ribosomal RNA
Rfam family: 5.8S ribosomal RNA
About the family: 5.8S ribosomal RNA (5.8S rRNA) is a component of the large subunit of the eukaryotic ribosome. It is transcribed by RNA polymerase I as part of the 45S precursor that also contains 18S and 28S rRNA. Functionally, it is thought that 5.8S rRNA may be involved in ribosome translocation.
Source: RNAcentral